AUGGCUUCUGGCUUUGCUCCUGACAUCUGGCAGUGGAUCAGGAGCCUCCCCGGGCAAUGGAGGGCAGACGAAUCCCACUCUCUCCAGAUAUGCAGUUCUCCAUCCACAAACCAAUCCCUCAACCUCGUAGUCACCAGACAAUCUGAGGAAACCCAUCCCUUCAGUUUGUCUUUCUCCAUCUGUGACGGGUCCCGUGACCACGAUCCAGUCUCGCUCUGGAGCUCCCAUUAUUCCAAGCUGAAACCUGCGAACACCACAGACGUUGCGGCCCAGUUCUUGCUCGAGAUCGUCUGCGGGGUGCUCAGGUACGGGCCUUACUCUAGCAGCAGGGCCAUCUUCAGGCUACCGGCCGUGCAUGUGUCCGAAGGUUCGGGCAAGAUCCUCAGCCUGUCCGUCCUGGCCCUGGCGUUCCUGGUCUGCAUCUACGAGGCCCCGUCCACGCCCCGGCGGGAGUUCAUCGGCGCGAUCACCGCACGGCUGACGCGCGACGAGAUGCGCCACGCAGCGAGGGAGCUUAUGCUGGCCCUCGGGUCCGACCUGGAGGAGCAGUGGAUGCGGUCGCUGAAUCUGGGCGUCACCAACUGGGCCUUGGAGGCUCUCCGGUCAGGCGCCGGCACGUCGUCCCCGCUGCGUUUCGCGGUGUUCUCCUAUGCUCUGUCGGCGAGCAGGCUAUGGAAGGUCCAGCUGUACUGCCCAGUCGUGGCCAUGACCCAGCAGCAGCAGCACCAGCUGGUCAAAGACGAGAGACUGCUCUUCUCGCUCAACUACCAGCAGCUCGAGAGCGUCAUCCAGUUCACGUACAGAGUCGCGUUCCAGGAGAACUGGAUCGACGUCGCCGUCAACGUCGACAACAUACGGUGCGACGUGAUACAGCUGGUGUCCGAGACUCUCAUGGCGAGGCAAGGCCACGGCUCCGACGAGAAGCACUUCCCGUCGCGCAUAUCGCUGCAGCUCACGCCCAUGGCGCAGUCGGACAUCCUCUCGCUCUCCGUGAGCAGGUCCACGGACAACCCCGUCCAGGAGGUCGGCACCGACAAGGGCAUCGACACGACGCUCGCCGCCGCACCGGCGUCGAUCGGCAUCAGCGUGUCGGCGCACGAGACGGUGACCAGGACCAUGAAGCCCUGGAAGUUCGAGCACUCGGUGCACGGUAACACGGCGUCACUGAACUGGUUCCUCCACGGCAGCGGCGGCGGGGGCAGGGAGGUCUUCUCCAGCGACCCGCCCAAGCUGGAGCUCUUCCAGCCGAGGUCCUGGUUCAGGAACCGGUACACCAGCCCCAGCAGGCCCUUCACCAGAAGCGGAGGAGUCAUCUUUGCCGGCGACGAGUACGGGGAGGGCGUGUGCUGGAGGAUGUGCGCGGCCGCAGCCGGCAAGACCAUGGAGUGGGAGAUCAAGGGCAGGAUAUGGGUCACCUACUGGCCAAACAAGAAGAGGACGCUGCAUACGGAGACCAGGAGGCUCGAGUUCAGAGAGCUGCUGCAUCUCACCAUUGGAGAGUAG
RNAcentral lists this ribosomal RNA (1503 nucleotides) under Triticum aestivum (bread wheat). Its description in RNAcentral is "partial small subunit ribosomal RNA". Lineage: Eukaryota; Viridiplantae; Streptophyta; Magnoliopsida; Poales; Poaceae. The record is from RNAcentral.